UUAAGCGACUAAGCGUACACGGUGGAUGCCCUGGCAGUCAGAGGCGAUGAAGGACGUGCUAAUCUGCGAUAAGCGUCGGUGAGGUGAUAUGAACCGUUAUAACCGGCGAUUUCCGAAUGGGGAAACCCAGUGUGUUUCGACACACUAUCAUUAACUGAAUCCAUAGGUUAAUGAGGCGAACCGGGGGAACUGAAACAUCUAAGUACCCCGAGGAAAAGAAAUCAACCGAGAUUCCCCCAGUAGCGGCGAGCGAACGGGGAGGAGCCCAGAGCCUGAAUCAGUGUGUGUGUUAGUGGAAGCGUCUGGAAAGGCGCGCGAUACAGGGUGACAGCCCCGUACACAAAAAUGCACAUAUUGUGAGCUCGAUGAGUAGGGCGGGACACGUGGUAUCCUGUCUGAAUAUGGGGGGACCAUCCUCCAAGGCUAAAUACUCCUGACUGACCGAUAGUGAACCAGUACCGUGAGGGAAAGGCGAAAAGAACCCCGGCGAGGGGAGUGAAAAAGAACCUGAAACCGUGUACGUACAAGCAGUGGGAGCCUCUUAAUGAGGUGACUGCGUACCUUUUGUAUAAUGGGUCAGCGACUUAUAUUCUGUAGCAAGGUUAACCGAAUAGGGGAGCCGAAGGGAAACCGAGUCUUAACUGGGCGUUAAGUUGCAGGGUAUAGACCCGAAACCCGGUGAUCUAGCCAUGGGCAGGUUGAAGGUUGGGUAACACUAACUGGAGGACCGAACCGACUAAUGUUGAAAAAUUAGCGGAUGAUUUGUGGCUGGGGGGGAAAGGCCAAUCAAACCGGGAGAUAGCUGGUUCUCCCCGAAAGCUAUUUAGGUAGCGCCUCGUGAAUUCAUCUCCGGGGGUAGAGCACUGUUUCGGCAAGGGGGUCAUCCCGACUUACCAACCCGAUGCAAACUGCGAAUACCGGAGAAUGUUAUCACGGGAGACACACGGCGGGUGCUAACGUCCGUCGUGAAGAGGGAAACAACCCAGACCGCCAGCUAAGGUCCCAAAGUCAUGGUUAAGUGGGAAACGAUGUGGGAAGGCCCAGACAGCCAGGAUGUUGGCUUAGAAGCAGCCAUCAUUUAAAGAAAGCGUAAUAGCUCACUGGUCGAGUCGGCCUGCGCGGAAGAUGUAACGGGGCUAAACCAUGCACCGAAGCUGCGGCAGCGACACUAUGUGUUGUUGGGUAGGGGAGCGUUCUGUAAGCCUGUGAAGGUGGCCUGUGAGGGUUGCUGGAGGUAUCAGAAGUGCGAAUGCUGACAUAAGUAACGAUAAAGCGGGUGAAAAGCCCGCUCGCCGGAAGACCAAGGGUUCCUGUCCAACGUUAAUCGGGGCAGGGUGAGUCGACCCCUAAGGCGAGGCCGAAAGGCGUAGUCGAUGGGAAACAGGUUAAUAUUCCUGUACUUGGUGUUACUGCGAAGGGGGGACGGAGAAGGCUAUGUUGGCCGGGCGACGGUUGUCCCGGUUUAAGCGUGUAGGCUGGUUUUCCAGGCAAAUCCGGAAAACCAAGGCUGAGGCGUGAUGACGAGGCACUACGGUGCUGAAGCGACAAAUGCCCUGCUUCCAGGAAAAGCCUCUAAGCAUCAGGUAACAUCAAAUCGUACCCCAAACCGACACAGGUGGUCAGGUAGAGAAUACCAAGGCGCUUGAGAGAACUCGGGUGAAGGAACUAGGCAAAAUGGUGCCGUAACUUCGGGAGAAGGCACGCUGAUAUGUAGGUGAAGCGACUUGCUCGUGGAGCUGAAAUCAGUCGAAGAUACCAGCUGGCUGCAACUGUUUAUUAAAAACACAGCACUGUGCAAACACGAAAGUGGACGUAUACGGUGUGACGCCUGCCCGGUGCCGGAAGGUUAAUUGAUGGGGUUAGCGGUAACGCGAAGCUCUUGAUCGAAGCCCCGGUAAACGGCGGCCGUAACUAUAACGGUCCUAAGGUAGCGAAAUUCCUUGUCGGGUAAGUUCCGACCUGCACGAAUGGCGUAAUGAUGGCCAGGCUGUCUCCACCCGAGACUCAGUGAAAUUGAACUCGCUGUGAAGAUGCAGUGUACCCGCGGCAAGACGGAAAGACCCCGUGAACCUUUACUAUAGCUUGACACUGAACAUUGAGCCUUGAUGUGUAGGAUAGGUGGGAGGCUUUGAAGUGUGGACGCCAGUCUGCAUGGAGCCGACCUUGAAAUACCACCCUUUAAUGUUUGAUGUUCUAACGUGGGCCCCUAAUCGGGGUUGCGGACAGUGUCUGGUGGGUAGUUUGACUGGGGCGGUCUCCUCCUAAAGAGUAACGGAGGAGCACGAAGGUUGGCUAAUCCUGGUCGGACAUCAGGAGGUUAGUGCAAUGGCAUAAGCCAGCUUGACUGCGAGCGUGACGGCGCGAGCAGGUGCGAAAGCAGGUCAUAGUGAUCCGGUGGUUCUGAAUGGAAGGGCCAUCGCUCAACGGAUAAAAGGUACUCCGGGGAUAACAGGCUGAUACCGCCCAAGAGUUCAUAUCGACGGCGGUGUUUGGCACCUCGAUGUCGGCUCAUCACAUCCUGGGGCUGAAGUAGGUCCCAAGGGUAUGGCUGUUCGCCAUUUAAAGUGGUACGCGAGCUGGGUUUAGAACGUCGUGAGACAGUUCGGUCCCUAUCUGCCGUGGGCGCUGGAGAACUGAGGGGGGCUGCUCCUAGUACGAGAGGACCGGAGUGGACGCAUCACUGGUGUUCGGGUUGUCAUGCCAAUGGCACUGCCCGGUAGCUAAAUGCGGAAGAGAUAAGUGCUGAAAGCAUCUAAGCACGAAACUUGCCCCGAGAUGAGUUCUCCCUGAGACUUAGAGUCUCCUGAAGGAACGUUGAAGACGACGACGUUGAUAGGCCGGGUGUGUAAGCGCAGCGAUGCGUUGAGCUAACCGGUACUAAUGAACCGUGAGGCUUAACCUU
RNAcentral lists this ribosomal RNA (2902 nucleotides) under Escherichia coli HVH 225 (4-1273116). Its description in RNAcentral is "bacterial LSU rRNA". It matches the Rfam family "Bacterial large subunit ribosomal RNA". Lineage: Bacteria; Pseudomonadati; Pseudomonadota; Gammaproteobacteria; Enterobacterales; Enterobacteriaceae. The record is from RNAcentral.